CCUAAGGAUGGGACUGCGCCCGAUCAGGUUGUUGGUGGGGCAAUGGCCUACCAAGCCUAUAACCGGUACGGGCCCUGAGAGGGGUAGCCCGGAGAUGGGAACUGAGACAAGGUCCCAGGCCCUACGGGGCGCAGCAGGCGCGAAAUCUCCACAAUACACGAAUGUGUGAUGGGGUUAUCCCGAGUGCUAUCCGCUGAGGAUGGCUUUUCUUCAGUGUAAGUAGCUGGAGGAAUAAGAGGGGGGCAAGACUGGUGUCAGCCGCCGCGGUAAUACCAGCCCCUCGAGUGGUAGGGACGAUUAUUUAGCCUAAAGCGUUCGUAGCCGGCUUAGCAAGUCCCUCGUGAAAUCCGAUGACUUAAUCGUCGGGCGUGCGAAGGAUACUGUUAAGCUUGGGGACGGGAGAAGUCGACGGUAGUCCCGGUGUAGGGGUGAAAUCCUAUAAUCCCGGGAGGACCACCAGUGGCGAAGGCGGUCGACUAGAACGCGCCCGACGGUGAUGGACGAAAGCUGGGGGAGCGAACCGGAUUAGAUACCCGGGUAGUCCCAGCUGUAAACGAUGCGGGCUAGGUGUUGGGGCAGCCACGAGCUGCUCCAGUGCCGCAGGGAAGCUCUUAAGCCCGCCGCUUGGGAAGUACGGUCGCAAGGCUGAAACUUAAAGGAAUUGGCGGGGGAGCACCACAAGGGGUGAAGCCUGCGGUUUAAUUGGAGUCAACGCCGGA
Molecule: ribosomal RNA, 719 nt
Filed under: uncultured archaeon
Lineage: Archaea
Description: bacterial SSU rRNA
Rfam family: Archaeal small subunit ribosomal RNA
Source: RNAcentral